Molecule: ribosomal RNA, 467 nt
Filed under: uncultured bacterium
Lineage: Bacteria
Description: partial 16S ribosomal RNA
Rfam family: Bacterial small subunit ribosomal RNA
Source: RNAcentral
GAUGAACGCUGACAGAAUGCUUAACACAUGCAAGUCCACUUGAAUUUGGGUUUUUACCUUAGGUUUGGGUGGCGGACGGGUGAGUAACGCGUAAAGAACUUGCCUCACAGCUAGGGACAACAUUUGGAAACGAAUGCUAAUACCUAAUAUUAUGAUAAUAGGGCAUCCUAUAAUUAUGAAAGCUAUAAGCGCUGUGAGAGAGCUUUGCGUCCCAUUAGCUAGUUGGAGAGGUAACGGCUCACCAAGGCGAUGAUGGGUAGCCAGCCUGAGAGGGUGAUCGGCCACAAGGGGACUGAGACACGGCCCUUACUCAUUCGGGAGGCAGCAGUGGGGAAUAUUGGACGAUGGACCGAGAGUCUGAUCCAGCAAUUCUGUGUGCACGAUGAAGUUUUUCGGAAUGUAAAGUACUUUCAGUUGGGAAGAAACAAAUGACGGUACCAACAGAAGAAGUGACGGCUAAAUACGUG